Suricata suricatta (meerkat) is the source of this 1120-nucleotide long non-coding RNA. RefSeq lists it as uncharacterized. Lineage: Eukaryota; Metazoa; Chordata; Mammalia; Carnivora; Herpestidae. The transcript is spliced from 4 exons. The record is from RefSeq and is a predicted model, not a curated record.
AGAGAAGAAUGCCAUUUACUUCCCCAGUACUAGGAGAAGGAGGUGACAAUAUCUAGUUACUUACUAAAUCCCUGCUGCUUCUUAGAGAAGCUAAAUCCCCAGGCUCAUUGAAAGGAUUAAUCAGAUACUCAUGGAAAGUGCAUGUACUUCAUGGAGAUCUCAUCCACUGCCUGGAGCUUUGGCCAUAGAGAACUCUUCUGUGUCAGCUCCUAAAUCCUUCAACAUGCCCUCAGUCCUCAAGCAUUUUCUUGCUUUUGGACCACAAGAUGCUCCAAGAUCAUCUUAAAUUUAUCCUUCCCCAACUCUGGAAUCAAACACUUCUCCAAGGAGCCCUGGUUUCUUUCAUUGGAGAAUAUCUAAAAACCAAGAUUUGGACCCUAGGGAUGAUGGUAUGGGUUCACUUUGUCCAUCUCGUUUGGAUGACAUCAUCAGACAAGCAUUCUGUACCUCUCCAUCAAGACCCAUAAGAUUACCUGAUGUUUGACAGAGCUGAGGAAAAAGAAACCAAAAUGACCCAAUGGAACAUAUAUGCUGAUUUCAGUUAUUAUUAUUUGAUAGAAACGAUGAACUCAGUUGUAUAAGCUUGGCCACCUGACUUCUUGAAAGACACAUUUCAGAUAUGGAAAUACUUCAGAGGGUUGUGUUGAAUCUCUAAGAAGACAUUGAUCAUUCAAUUCCCAGUGGCCAAUGGUUGACCUCUUUUGAGACAUUUCUAACUGGAAAGAAAAGACAGGUCUUCCUGCCUUCGGUGGAACCUCACUUUUAAUGAUGUUGCCUUAUGAAGAUGUGACCUAAGGAAGGACUGGGUACAGACAAUGCUUUUAAUCUCACUUGCCUUAUUCUUCAUUUUUAUAUCUAGGUUUCAAGAAACCAGUGUUAGCUAACAGCACUGUUUUUACUGCUAAGCAAAACUUCAGGAAGGGGCAUUCUUUGAUAAAACAUUAAUUAACCAAUUUUCUGUCAGUCUAAAUUAAAACCUACACUGUUUCCCUUUGCCCUCCCAAGGUUUUCUCUUACAUGCUUAUUACAAAUAAUUUUAAGGAGUAUAAAAGUGACAGUGAUUGGUUUUAAUAUUGAAAACCUAAAAUUAAUAAAUGCAGUUUUGACUGCUGCUACUGUC